Elaeis guineensis (African oil palm) is the source of this 1179-nucleotide non-coding RNA. The record is from RefSeq and is a predicted model, not a curated record. Lineage: Eukaryota; Viridiplantae; Streptophyta; Magnoliopsida; Arecales; Arecaceae.
GUAUGUUGAGGUUGUUGUCCCCAACGCUCCUGCAGAGAUCAUCCAUUUGCAGAAGUCUCCUAGAAGGACCUGUAUGUAUCCAGGAUUUGAUGUGGGCUAUGCUUUGCUGUUUCAGCAAGGAGGAGCUCUUGGCUUUUGCAACAGAUGGGUUUUUACGGGCUUAGCCGCAUGAGAUUCAUCUCGCUAGAUUGGCAUUUGAUCACCGCAUUCGUAGAACGGUGGCAUCCAGAAACUCAUACAUUUCAUCUGCUGCCUGGUGAGUGCACUAUCACACUGGAGGAUGUCAACAUUCAAUUGGGUUUACCAAUUGAUGGUCUUUCAGUGACAGGUAGCACACAUCAGGACUGGCAUCAGGUAUGCUUUGAUUUGCUAGGUGUUGUCCCACCUGCUGAUAAACUCAAGGAUUACCGAUUGAAUCUUGCAUGGUAGGACAACAGUUUUUCGAGCUACCAUUAGAUGCAGACAUUAUAGCUAUACAGCAUUAUGCUAGGGCAUAUAUUUUGCAGCUGAUGGGGGAGGGUAUUUAUAUGCAGAUAAAUCAAAUAACAUGAUGCAUAUAAUAUGUUUGCCACUACUUGCCGAUUUUGUGGUUGCAGGAUACUACAGUUGGGGUAGUGCGAGCUUAGCAUGGUUGUAUAGAGAGCUUUGUAAGGCAAGUAGGAUAGAUGCAUUUGAUAUUGCGGGACCUUUGAUUUUACUCUAGGUAUGGGCCUGGGAUAGGUUUCCAUCUAUAGCUCCUCGUGGGUUACUUCAGCCUCCUAUAGAUUCUAUUAUGGAUUUGGCAGGUGGAGAUGCAUUACCAGCUGGUCCUCUAGUCAUGAGGUGGAGAGAUGCUUUUGAGGUGACGGAGGUUUUUAUCCAUGUUUUACUGAGUUAUCGACUUCAUCUUGAUCGACUCGGAUUUGAGCAGAUCGUAUGGCAGCCAUAUACUCCUCCGGUCCAAGCUGGUCUACCAAAUUAUUGUUUUAGUGGACAACAUAUAUGAUGGUGUCGGAUGACACUUCUAUGCUUUUUUAUCGUCGAGUGGCACUAUCCGGAUUGAGUGAUGCGCCAGUUCGGAUUACGAAAGACUAUUCUGGAGGUUUGUGAUACGGAUUCCAGACUUCAUCAUAUCGACCUUCGAGGGUGCGUCGAUCAUGACUGAAAAAGAAUUCAUCAGCAGUGGGUUGCAAUCUGGCA